Molecule: ribosomal RNA, 442 nt
Filed under: uncultured bacterium
Lineage: Bacteria
Description: partial 16S ribosomal RNA
Rfam family: Bacterial small subunit ribosomal RNA
Source: RNAcentral
CUACGGGAGGCACCAGUGGGGAAUAUUGGACAAUGGGAGAAAUCCUGAUCCAGCAAUUCUGUGUGCAUGAUGACGGUCUUCGGAUUGUAAAGUGCUUUCGACAGGGAAGAAUAAAUUGACGGUACCUGUAUAAGAAGCGACGGCUAAAUACGUGCCAGCAGCCGCGGUAAUACGUAUGUCGCAAGCGUUAUCCGGAAUCACUGGGCAUAAAGGGCGUCUAGGCGGUUUAAAAAGUCAGUGGUGAAAGGUAUGGGCUCAACCCGUGCAUUGCCAUUGAAACUCUUAGACUAGAGUAUGGGAGAGGAGGGCGGAACUACAAGAGUAGCGGUGAAAUGCGUAGAUAUUUGUAGGAAUGCCAAUGACGAAGGUAGCUCUCUGGACCAAUACUGACGCUAAAGCGCGAAAGCUAGGGUAGCAAACAGGAUUAGAUACCCCUGUAGUC